RNAcentral lists this ribosomal RNA (253 nucleotides) under uncultured bacterium. RNAcentral describes it as "partial 16S ribosomal RNA". It matches the Rfam family "Bacterial small subunit ribosomal RNA", at positions 524 to 776 of the family's 1533-position model. The record is from RNAcentral.
UACGUAGGGGGCUAGCGUUGCUCGGAAUCACUGGGCGUAAAGCGCACGUAGGCGGAUUGCUAAGUCAGGUGUGAAAUCCUGGAGCUCAACUCCAGAACUGCCUUUGAUACUGGCGAUCUCGAGUCCGGGAGAGGUGAGUGGAACUGCGAGUGUAGAGGUGAAAUGCGUAGAUAUUCGCAAGAACACCAGUGGCGAAGGCAGCUCGCUGGCACGGUACUGACGCUGAGGUGCGAAAGCGUGGGGAGCAAACAGG